CAAAACCCCUAUAGACUCCUAUGGGAUCCCUAGAGGACCCCCUACAAAAACCCUAUAGACCCUAUAGGACCCCUAUGGGACCCCUACAAAACCCCCAUAAACCCCUGUGGGAUCCCUAUAGGACCCCUACAGACCCCUACAGAAUCCCUAUGGGACCCCUACAAAACCCCUACAGACUCCUAUGGGACUCCUGUUGAAACCUGUAUGGGUCCAAAAACCCUAUAGACCCCAUAGACCCUAUGGGAUCCCUAUAGGACCCCUGUAGACCCGUAUGGGACCCCUAUAGGACCCCUACAAAACCCCCAUAAACCCCUAUGGGACCCCUAUAGGACCCCUACAAAACCCCUAUAGACUCCUAUGGGACUUCUGUAGAACCUCUAUGGGACCAAAACCCCUAUAGACCCUAUAGACCGUAUGGGAUCCCUAUAGGACCCCUAUAGACCCCUAUAGACCCUAGGGGACCCUUACAAAACCCCCAAAACCCCUAUGGGACCCCUAUAGGAUCCCUAUAGACCCCUAUGGGACCCCUACAAAACCCCUAUAGACUCCUAUGGGACCGCUAUGGGACCCUUACAAAACCCCCAUAAACCCCUAUGGGAUCUAUGGGACCCCUAUAGACCCCUAUGGGACCCCGACAGAAUCCAUACAGGACCCCUACAAAACCCCUACAGACUCCUAUGGGACUCCAGUAGAACCUCUAUGGGACCAAGACCCCUAUAGACCCUAUGGGAUCCCUAUAGGACCCCUAUAGACCCCUAUGGGACCCUUACAAAACCCCCAUAAACUGCUAUGGGACCCCGACAGAAUCCCUACAGGACCCCUACAAAACCCUUAUAGACUCCUAUGGGACUCCUGUAGAACCUCUAUAGCACCCCUAUAGGAUCCCCUACAAAACCCCUAUAGACCCUAUGGGACCCCUUUGGAAUCCCUACAAACCCCUAUAGACUCCUAUGGGACCCCUGUAAAACCUCUAUGGGACCAAAACUCCUAUAGACCCUAUGGGAUCCCUAUAGACCCCUAUAGACCCCUAUGGGACCCCGACAAAACCCCCAUAAACCCCUAUGGGACCCCUACAGAACCCCUAUAGGACCCUAUAGACCCCUAUGGGACCCCGACAAAACCCCUACAGACUCCUAUGGGACUCCUAUAGGACCCCUAUAGACCCCUACGGGACCCCUACAAAACCCCUAUAGAUUCCUAUGCGACUCCUGUAAAACCUCUAUGGGAUCCUUAUAGGAUACCUACAAAACCCCUAUAGACCCUACAGACCCCUAUGGGACCCCUAUAGACUCCUAUGGGACCCCUGUAGAACCUCUAUGGGACCAAAACUCCUAUAGACCCCUAUGGGACCCCUACAAAACCCCCAUAAACCCCUACGGGACCCCUACAGGACCCCCUACAAAACCCCUAUAAACCCCUAUGGGACUCCUAUGGGACCCUUACAAAACCCCCCAUAAACCCCUAUAAACCCCUACAGGACCCCUACAAAACCCCUAUAGACUCCUAUGGGACCCC
This 1515-nucleotide long non-coding RNA is filed under the name Phasianus colchicus (ring-necked pheasant). RNAcentral describes it as "lncRNA (ENSPCLG00000017684.1)". The record is from RNAcentral. Lineage: Eukaryota; Metazoa; Chordata; Aves; Galliformes; Phasianidae.